GGUGAAGGAACAGAAGCAAGCCUCUCAAACACAAGAGAAGAAAGUAAAAGAACAAGAAGAGAGUAUUAGUACUCAUGGCUUCUUCAAUGAUAUCAUCAGUAGCACCGGUUACCCGUGCAUCCCCUGCUCAGGCUAACAUGGUCGCGCCUUUCACCGGCCUCAAGUCCAUCGCAUCAUUCCCCGUCACCCGAAAGCUUGAGAAUGACAUUACCUCUAUUACCAGCAACGGAGGAAGAGUUCAAUGCAUGAAGGUAUAUAUCUAUACUACUUAAUACUCAGAUAUAUUAUGUGCUAAUGAGGAACCAGUAUAACAUGGCAGAACAUUUCUUAGUUAGUUAUUGCUCAUUUGCUCUCAAAGUAGCACAAUUCUAAGUCAGAUAAAGCAGUCCUAGGUAACUUUAGAGUGAGUAACUUCAGAAUUUUCCUUGAAUAUGUCAAUAAUAUACAAAAAUUAUGUCAACACCUCGAUUAAAAGAUUGUUUUGCUUGUAUUUUCCUCCUGAGCUGAUCUGAGAAAUUUUGUUCUCAAGUCAAACAAUUAGAGACUUUAGCUCAAGAGAAAUGUCACCCCCUGGCAUUGUAGCCUGCGGGAUGUCCUCUAUAUUUUACCAUAGUAACCAUGUCGCCCCUCAAGUGAAGUAGAAUUUAAUUCAAUAAUGAAAUUGAACUACCCAGUAGAGGAAAUUUCUAGUUUUUUUGUAUAAUUUCCACCUUAGCUUGCUCUUAGUAACCCCCCUCAGUCUCAUUAAAUAGUCGGAAAUGUAUAUUCUUAUGAAGACAUGAUCACGUUCUUCAAAUUUUGCAAUCCAACACUGUUUCUAGACAAAUAUACAAUCUGUCGGUUUGUAAUUGAGUAAAUAUGACAUUCACAAAAUAUAUCAAGGAGAACACACCUUGGUUCUGAAAGUGAAUGAUAAAUUAGUUAGGUAACAUAUGUGAAUGGUGCAAGUGCAGGUAUGGCCACCAAUUAACAUGAAGAAGUUCGAGACACUCUCAUACCUUCCUCCUCUCACCACCGAACAAUUGGCAAAGGAGGUCGACUACCUUCUCCGUUCCGGAUGGGUUCCUUGUCUGGAAUUCGAGUUGGAGGUAAGCACUUUCUUCCUACACAUUUUUCAUGUUCUCUGUUACAUGUUUCUUGACAUUGCUGAUGACAAUUGUGUGUUAAACCAAUAUGCAGCACGGUUUCGUGUACCGUGAGCACAACAAAUCUCCCGGAUACUAUGACGGACGAUACUGGGUUAUGUGGAAGCUUCCCAUGUUCGGGUGCACCGACUCAUCGCAGGUGUUGAAGGAGCUUGAUGAGUGCGUCAAGGAGUACCCCCAGGCGUACGUCCGUAUCAUCGGAUUCGACAACGUUCGCCAAGUCCAGUGCAUCAGUUUCAUUGCUCACCAGCCAGAAUGCUGAUCAAUCUGUCUGUUGAUUUCAUAUAUUUAUCAAUCUUGUUCGGCUCAUAUAUAAACUUCUUGCAAUCUCAUUUCAUUUCUUUCCGUUUUAAAUUUCUUACUUGUAUCUCCAACACAAGGAAAUUGGAACUAUAGAGGAUUAUAUGUAGCGAUUGUUGGUGAUUAUAUAUAUCUACUUGUUUGUUUUCCCUGCACCUUCUAAAUACUUGCAUCAUAUGCUUUCAUGUCGUGAUGUACUUUUUUAUAUAUCUCCGAUUCUCCAUGCAGUAAUUAACCACUACGGUCUUUUUACACCAACAAAUUAUAUGAUAACAUAUAGAAACAGUUCAUUGCUUCCGUAAUAUCUGCCUUGGUACAUGUUCUCUUGUAUCACUACAAAACCUUUCACGUCCAACAAUGUGAAAGCAAAUUCUCUGUAAUAGAAAUGGACAUCUGCUAGCGACAUUUCAGAUAAUAAUAAAGUGUACUUAUGCACCAUCUGGUUGGAAGGAAUGAACGGGAAAAACAUGAACAAAAUCAAAGGUAAACGAGAAGUAUACAAGAGUGAAGAGUGAUGAAGAACUAGAAAGUGCAGACUUUAUUAUGAGUUUCACAAUAUAAUGAGUAAAAUAUAGGAAUGAUCAUUUAUCCCUAUAUUGGUAAGAUUGAGAUAUUAGUUUUUUUUUGUGUGCCAAACUAGUACAAAUUUCAUUUCAUUCUCCCUAAACGUAAUUCUUCCAACAAAAUGGGGCAUUACAUAAAGGUAUAAAGAUGAGGAGAUUAAAGAUUGACAGCUGCGAUAAGGGAAGGUAUGGAAAACAUGUGUAACUAUAUAAAUGUCGAACACCAAUAAGAUCCAAAUAACUCAGAUAACAUCCAAACUCAGUAACAAAUUGGUUAACAGAUAAAAUUCAGAAGCGAAUGCAAAAUAGUUUAUAAAAUUAGAUUCUAAGAUUCAAAAUUUCUAGUAUUCAGAUUAUAUGCAGAUGAAAGAGGAAGGGAGAUUUAUUGAAUAAUUUAGGCUUGACAAAACACAAUAAAAUGAUACACAUAGACUAGUAUACUCUAAUACUUAAUGAGCAGCAUAUAUUCUUAUUCUUAACUACCGUCUAUUCUAUUAUAUCAAAGAAACAUAAAUUAUUGCAAAGCUGUAAAUUCACAUUAAGAAGCUUAAACAAAUUACACAACUAGAAAUCAACCACUCAAAUUGGAUAUAAUUGGAUAAAUAUCUAAAGAGAUCAUAACUAAGAACCCUAAUUUCAAAGUUAUAAAUGUAUGUAUAUAAAUGAUUCAAAAAUCAGAACUCUGUAACACAAAAAAGCUAGCUGAACUGAGAUGAAGUAGAAAGCAGCAACAAAACAUUUAUGAAUUAAAUAUCUAAAGCUGAUCUAAUUACAAACAUCAACUCACAGUUAUCAAGAGGGGUGUAUUGGAUUGGGAUUUUAAAUCAUUUUUUUGCAUUCAUGAAAUCCGAGGGUAUUCGAUUGAGAUUAUUUGAAAUGCAUUAAAAUCUUGGGGUAUUCAAUUGGGAUUUUGAAUUAUGCUACAAAAUCUGGUGGUAUUCAAUUGGGAUUUUAAAUUAUGCUUUAAAAUCCGGUGGUAUUCAAUUCGGAUUGUUUAAAAUCCAUUAAAAUCUGAUGGUAUUCAAAUGUUGUCGGAUUUUUUUUCAUUUCAUAAAAUGGUGGAUUUUGUGGCAUUGUUCGAUGUAUUUUAAGUUUUAUGAAAUCCCACCAAAAUCAAUGGGAUUUUGAAGCAUUGUGCUUAAAUCCUAUCAACUCUGCGACAUUUCAUCAAGAAUCCGCACAAAAUCAAAAUCACAUGCAAUCCAUUAAAAUCCAUAGACUAAAAACAAUCCAUUAAAAUCUCAAUCGAAUACACCCCCGCAAUUUAUUAAUCAGAUGAGAGGAAGGAAGGGAGAGGGUCAGAGGGAGAGGGAGAGGGAGAGAGAGAGAGAGAGAGGAGUUACAGUGCUACGGCGACGUUCAGCGGCGAUGGAGAAGCCAAAAGCGACCAAGCAUAGUAUUAUUACAAGAAGAUGAACGAGAGAUGAGCCUUUCCCUGCCCCCAUUAUUGUUUCUAAGGGCAUCUUUGAUCACAAUUUCAAGCUUCAUAUUUUUUUCACUUUUAAUUUUAUAGAUAGAUUAAUCAAUCUCCAAUCAUCCAUUUAUCUUCCUAUGUAAAGUCAUUUACUAGAUAAAUUAUAUUAUUUUAUAAAAAAAAAUUAAAUAACGAAAUAUAUGAUCUUUCUCGGAUGAAGAUAACUUGCAAAUUUAAUGGUAUAGUUUAGAAAUUGGGGUUGAGAAGUACCAGUAGUUAUGCUAUAUUUACCUGAUGAUCUCGUAUCGUAACUUUUUUUACACGUGGGAUUUUUUUGCUUACAGCUCAUACUCUAUAACACACUUCCGCCAUUUCACAUGUGACUUCAUCUUUUGACCAGGGUUCUGUAAAUAGAAUUUUGAGCAAGAUCCCCUUAAUACAUAACUGAAUAAACAACACUCGUAGAGAUGAAUUCUGCUGGCGGAACUAGGGAAGAAACCCUAGCUUAGUCAAAGUUUUUUUUUUCUUCCAGAUAUUUGUUUUUUUUCAGAUAUUUUUUUAUUUGAGCUCUUAAAAAUAACAGUGAACCAAUAAAAAGUAUUUAUUGUGCAAAUUUUAAUUCUAGAUUAUUUUGAUUCAUGUCAUAUUGUCAUUGACUAACAGGCCAAAGUCAUUUUGUUAAUGGGCUCUAUUUUCUUGACCAAAAUCAUACUGUUUCCCCUACUAUUAUCCUGAGCCCAUGUUUUCAAAUUUCAAUUACGCCCAACCACCAGUCCAGAGUAGUUGUUGUUGGGCCACAAGGUAACCAUCCAAUGUCUAAACUAAUCAUAGUCCAAAUAAAAUUUUUUCAUAAAAACUGCGUGUACGUGAAUCCAGGGCAGAGGACUGAACAUGACUCCACUUGAGUUGAGCAAGAAAACCGCAAUCAUAUAUCUUUGAUUUUUAAAAUUGAAAACCGCAACCGUCAAUCGGGGUCGGUUUCGGUUUCGGUUUAAGAAACUUCGAUUCGGUUAAUAGUCGGCUCGGUUUCGAUUACAAAAUCGACAAAUAUAAGAAUGAAAAAUAGUACACAAACGAGACAAAUUAAUGCACGUAAUCUAGACAUAAUAAUUAAUAUAAUAUUAAAAUUUAACAAAAGUAACCGUAUUUUAUUUAAAACACUCUUGCCAGUAAUAUAAAACUAGUCUUAGUCAGAAUUUUCAUACAGAAUACGAAUCAGAACUUCCGGCUGAUUGGCUUUUUUAACACAUGCUUCAUGAAGAUUGAGAAAAUGUGACAGGGAAAAUAGGAAAUACAGAUUGGCAGUGGCCAGUCAGCAUGAGAUAUUCACUGAACAUCAAAUAUUAACAUAGACGGAUGUUUCUGUAAGUGUUAGAAUAGAUUUAUUAUAUUUAUUACAUAUUACAUAUAUUAUUUAUUAUUAUUUUAAUAACCGGUUCCGUUUGGUUUUUAUUGGUUCGGUUGGGAGGUAUAACCGGAACCAAACCGUUUAAAUCAGAUCAAUUUUUAAUUUUUCGGUUUCUAAUUGGUUUUUUUGAGUUUUUCCAAAUUUCGAUUCGUUUUGAUUUUAAAUCGGUUUUUUGCUAAGUCCUAAAUUAAGGUAUGGGUUCAAUUAUAGACAAGGUUAAGCUUACUUUUUAAAAAGUCUAACAUCACAAGUAAAUGGUUCACAAGUAAAUGGUCUUAAAACUAUAAAGAAACCAGGAUUGAAGCUCAAAAAUUAUCACCACUACACCCUUUUUUCGUGGUGCAACAAAUUUGGCCUAAAUCAAACGCAAAUCAAACGCAUUUAUACAAGACAAAUGACAGUCUUAAUAUAGGAUUACCCCAUUUUGGUUCAACCAUGAACACUGUUUGAACUAUGCGAUAGUUUCUUUACUAAAAUAUACUUCAGACUCUGGAACUGGAAGGACUAUGGGCCACUUAAAUGCAGCAUAUAUCUUGCAAUUUGAGCUCGAUAAUGGCAAAUUCCAAAUGCAAUCUAUCCACACAUUACACUCAAGUGCGAAAGAAUGAUCCAUGUAUUUUAAGGGUUUUGGUUCCUGGCAUGUGUACAUCAGGGAGUACUUAUAUAACAUACUGAUUUUGGAUCGUUGGAUGAUAUAUGCAUCUAACGGACAUAAUUAUAAAAAAAAUUCGUCAUGCUCAAUUUUUUUUUAUUUGUUUUUUUGCAUAUGAUAUGUAACUUGAAUAAUAAGAGGAAGGGGGAAAGUGAUGCAACUGCAAUUGAAGAAGUCAGUAGUCACUUAUUUAAAUUUCAAAGUACAAAGCCCAAAUAAGCAAUUUCCAAAGAGCUAAGCAAUGAAGGGCCAAGAAAUGGCUAGCUACUGCUAAAGAAAGCAAGUCCUCAUUCCUUGAUCAGAAGAGAUAAGGCAACCGCUCUCAUGCCACGUGUCAACUCAAUAAGAGUGUUUAAUGAUAAGGCAACCAAUCCAAAUUGCUCACACUGUGUGGCUACCAUGUUGCCUUGUCAACUUCACUGUAAUUCAAUGGUCAGAAAAAUUCUGAACUUUAGGAGGUGAAUUGGGAACCAUUGGAUCAGCAGGUUAAACGAUAAUGAGAUGAAAUGCCUAUAUAUUGGAUAGGUGAAGGAACAGAAGCAAGCCUCUCAAACACAAGAGAAGAAAGUAAAAGAACAAGAAGAGAGUAUUAGUACUCAUGGCUUCUUCAAUGAUAUCAUCAGUAGCACCGGUUACCCGUGCAUCCCCUGCUCAGGCUAACAUGGUCGCGCCUUUCACCGGCCUCAAGUCCAUCGCAUCAUUCCCCGUCACCCGAAAGCUUGAGAAUGACAUUACCUCUAUUACCAGCAACGGAGGAAGAGUUCAAUGCAUGAAGGUAUAUAUCUAUACUACUUAAUACUCAGAUAUAUUAUGUGCUAAUGAGGAACCAGUAUAACAUGGCAGAACAUUUCUUAGUUAGUUAUUGCUCAUUUGCUCUCAAAGUAGCACAAUUCUAAGUCAGAUAAAGCAGUCCUAGGUAACUUUAGAGUGAGUAACUUCAGAAUUUUCCUUGAAUAUGUCAAUAAUAUACAAAAAUUAUGUCAACACCUCGAUUAAAAGAUUGUUUUGCUUGUAUUUUCCUCCUGAGCUGAUCUGAGAAAUUUUGUUCUCAAGUCAAACAAUUAGAGACUUUAGCUCAAGAGAAAUGUCACCCCCUGGCAUUGUAGCCUGCGGGAUGUCCUCUAUAUUUUACCAUAGUAACCAUGUCGCCCCUCAAGUGAAGUAGAAUUUAAUUCAAUAAUGAAAUUGAACUACCCAGUAGAGGAAAUUUCUAGUUUUUUUGUAUAAUUUCCACCUUAGCUUGCUCUUAGUAACCCCCCUCAGUCUCAUUAAAUAGUCGGAAAUGUAUAUUCUUAUGAAGACAUGAUCACGUUCUUCAAAUUUUGCAAUCCAACACUGUUUCUAGACAAAUAUACAAUCUGUCGGUUUGUAAUUGAGUAAAUAUGACAUUCACAAAAUAUAUCAAGGAGAACACACCUUGGUUCUGAAAGUGAAUGAUAAAUUAGUUAGGUAACAUAUGUGAAUGGUGCAAGUGCAGGUAUGGCCACCAAUUAACAUGAAGAAGUUCGAGACACUCUCAUACCUUCCUCCUCUCACCACCGAACAAUUGGCAAAGGAGGUCGACUACCUUCUCCGUUCCGGAUGGGUUCCUCGUCUGGAAUUCGAGUUGGAGGUAAGCACUUUCUUCCUACAUAUUUUUCAUGUUCUCUGUUACAUGUUUCUUGACAUUGCUGAUGACAAUUGUGUGUUAAACCAAUAUGCAGCACGGUUUCGUGUACCGUGAGCACAACAAAUCUCCCGGAUACUAUGACGGACGAUACUGGGUUAUGUGGAAGCUUCCCAUGUUCGGGUGCACCGACUCAUCGCAGGUGUUGAAGGAGCUUGAUGAGUGCGUCAAGGAGUACCCCCAGGCGUACGUCCGUAUCAUCGGAUUCGACAACGUUCGCCAAGUCCAGUGCAUCAGUUUCAUUGCUCACCAGCCAGAAUGCUGAUCAAUCUGUCUGUUGAUUUCAUAUAUUUAUCAAUCUUGUUCGGCUCAUAUAUAAACUUCUUGCAAUCUCAUUUCAUUUCUUUCCGUUUUAAAUUUCUUACUUGUAUCUCCAACACAAGGAAAUUGGAACUAUAGAGGAUUAUAUGUAGCGAUUGUUGGUGAUUAUAUAUAUCUACUUGUUUGUUUUCCCUGCACCUUCUAAAUACUUGCAUCAUAUGCUUUCAUGUCGUGAUGUACUUUUUUAUAUAUCUCCGAUUCUCCAUGCAGUAAUUAACCACUACGGUCUUUUUACACCAACAAAUUAUAUGAUAACAUAUAGAAACAGUUCAUUGCUUCCGUAAUAUCUGCCUUGGUACAUGUUCUCUUGUAUCACUACAAAACCUUUCACGUCCAACAAUGUGAAAGCAAAUUCUCUGUAAUAGAAAUGGACAUCUGCUAGCGACAUUUCAGAUAAUAAUAAAGUGUACUUAUGCACCAUCUGGUUGGAAGGAAUGAACGGGAAAAACAUGAACAAAAUCAAAGGUAAACGAGAAGUAUACAAGAGUGAAGAGUGAUGAAGAACUAGAAAGUGCAGACUUUAUUAUGAGUUUCACAAUAUAAUGAGUAAAAUAUAGGAAUGAUCAUUUAUCCCUAUAUUGGUAAGAUUGAGAUAUUAGUUUUUUUUUGUGUGCCAAACUAGUACAAAUUUCAUUUCAUUCUCCCUAAACGUAAUUCUUCCAACAAAAUGGGGCAUUACAUAAAGGUAUAAAGAUGAGGAGAUUAAAGAUUGACAGCUGCGAUAAGGGAAGGUAUGGAAAACAUGUGUAACUAUAUAAAUGUCGAACACCAAUAAGAUCCAAAUAACUCAGAUAACAUCCAAACUCAGUAACAAAUUGGUUAACAGAUAAAAUUCAGAAGCGAAUGCAAAAUAGUUUAUAAAAUUAGAUUCUAAGAUUCAAAAUUUCUAGUAUUCAGAUUAUAUGCAGAUGAAAGAGGAAGGGAGAUUUAUUGAAUAAUUUAGGCUUGACAAAACACAAUAAAAUGAUACACAUAGACUAGUAUACUCUAAUACUUAAUGAGCAGCAUAUAUUCUUAUUCUUAACUACCGUCUAUUCUAUUAUAUCAAAGAAACAUAAAUUAUUGCAAAGCUGUAAAUUCACAUUAAGAAGCUUAAACAAAUUACACAACUAGAAAUCAACCACUCAAAUUGGAUAUAAUUGGAUAAAUAUCUAAAGAGAUCAUAACUAAGAACCCUAAUUUCAAAGUUAUAAAUGUAUGUAUAUAAAUGAUUCAAAAAUCAGAACUCUGUAACACAAAAAAGCUAGCUGAACUGAGAUGAAGUAGAAAGCAGCAACAAAACAUUUAUGAAUUAAAUAUCUAAAGCUGAUCUAAUUACAAACAUCAACUCACAGUUAUCAAGAGGGGUGUAUUGGAUUGGGAUUUUAAAUCAUUUUUUUGCAUUCAUGAAAUCCGAGGGUAUUCGAUUGAGAUUAUUUGAAAUGCAUUAAAAUCUUGGGGUAUUCAAUUGGGAUUUUGAAUUAUGCUACAAAAUCUGGUGGUAUUCAAUUGGGAUUUUAAAUUAUGCUUUAAAAUCCGGUGGUAUUCAAUUCGGAUUGUUUAAAAUCCAUUAAAAUCUGAUGGUAUUCAAAUGUUGUCGGAUUUUUUUUCAUUUCAUAAAAUGGUGGAUUUUGUGGCAUUGUUCGAUGUAUUUUAAGUUUUAUGAAAUCCCACCAAAAUCAAUGGGAUUUUGAAGCAUUGUGCUUAAAUCCUAUCAACUCUGCGACAUUUCAUCAAGAAUCCGCACAAAAUCAAAAACACAUGCAAUCCAUUAAAAUCCAUAGACUAAAAACAAUCCAUUAAAAUCUCAAUCGAAUACACCCCCGCAAUUUAUUAAUCAGAUGAGAGGAAGGAAGGGAGAGGGUCAGAGGGAGAGGGAGAGGGAGAGAGAGAGAGAGAGAGGAGUUACAGUGCUACGGCGACGUUCAGCGGCGAUGGAGAAGCCAAAAGCGACCAAGCAUAGUAUUAUUACAAGAAGAUGAACGAGAGAUGAGCCUUUCCCUGCCCCCAUUAUUGUUUCUAAGGGCAUCUUUGAUCACAAUUUCAAGCUUCAUAUUUUUUUCACUUUUAAUUUUAUAGAUAGAUUAAUCAAUCUCCAAUCAUCCAUUUAUCUUCCUAUGUAAAGUCAUUUACUAGAUAAAUUAUAUUAUUUUAUAAAAAAAAAUUAAAUAACGAAAUAUAUGAUCUUUCUCGGAUGAAGAUAACUUGCAAAUUUAAUGGUAUAGUUUAGAAAUUGGGGUUGAGAAGUACCAGUAGUUAUGCUAUAUUUACCUGAUGAUCUCGUAUCGUAACUUUUUUUACACGUGGGAUUUUUUUGCUUACAGCUCAUACUCUAUAACACACUUCCGCCAUUUCACAUGUGACUUCAUCUUUUGACCAGGGUUCUGUAAAUAGAAUUUUGAGCAAGAUCCCCUUAAUACAUAACUGAAUAAACAACACUCGUAGAGAUGAAUUCUGCUGGCGGAACUAGGGAAGAAACCCUAGCUUAGUCAAAGUUUUUUUUUUCUUCCAGAUAUUUGUUUUUUUUCAGAUAUUUUUUUAUUUGAGCUCUUAAAAAUAACAGUGAACCAAUAAAAAGUAUUUAUUGUGCAAAUUUUAAUUCUAGAUUAUUUUGAUUCAUGUCAUAUUGUCAUUGACUAACAGGCCAAAGUCAUUUUGUUAAUGGGCUCUAUUUUCUUGACCAAAAUCAUACUGUUUCCCCUACUAUUAUCCUGAGCCCAUGUUUUCAAAUUUCAAUUACGCCCAACCACCAGUCCAGAGUAGUUGUUGUUGGGCCACAAGGUAACCAUCCAAUGUCUAAACUAAUCAUAGUCCAAAUAAAAUUUUUUCAUAAAAACUGCGUGUACGUGAAUCCAGGGCAGAGGACUGAACAUGACUCCACUUGAGUUGAGCAAGAAAACCGCAAUCAUAUAUCUUUGAUUUUUAAAAUUGAAAACCGCAACCGUCAAUCGGGGUCGGUUUCGGUUUCGGUUUAAGAAACUUCGAUUCGGUUAAUAGUCGGCUCGGUUUCGAUUACAAAAUCGACAAAUAUAAGAAUGAAAAAUAGUACACAAACGAGACAAAUUAAUGCACGUAAUCUAGACAUAAUAAUUAAUAUAAUAUUAAAAUUUAACAAAAGUAACCGUAUUUUAUUUAAAACACUCUUGCCAGUAAUAUAAAACUAGUCUUAGUCAGAAUUUUCAUACAGAAUACGAAUCAGAACUUCCGGCUGAUUGGCUUUUUUAACACAUGCUUCAUGAAGAUUGAGAAAAUGUGACAGGGAAAAUAGGAAAUACAGAUUGGCAGUGGCCAGUCAGCAUGAGAUAUUCACUGAACAUCAAAUAUUAACAUAGACGGAUGUUUCUGUAAGUGUUAGAAUAGAUUUAUUAUAUUUAUUACAUAUUACAUAUAUUAUUUAUUAUUAUUUUAAUAACCGGUUCCGUUUGGUUUUUAUUGGUUCGGUUGGGAGGUAUAACCGGAACCAAACCGUUUAAAUCAGAUCAAUUUUUAAUUUUUCGGUUUCUAAUUGGUUUUUUUGAGUUUUUCCAAAUUUCGAUUCGUUUUGAUUUUAAAUCGGUUUUUUGCUAAGUCCUAAAUUAAGGUAUGGGUUCAAUUAUAGACAAGGUUAAGCUUACUUUUUAAAAAGUCUAACAUCACAAGUAAAUGGUUCACAAGUAAAUGGUCUUAAAACUAUAAAGAAACCAGGAUUGAAGCUCAAAAAUUAUCACCACUACACCCUUUUUUCGUGGUGCAACAAAUUUGGCCUAAAUCAAACGCAAAUCAAACGCAUUUAUACAAGACAAAUGACAGUCUUAAUAUAGGAUUACCCCAUUUUGGUUCAACCAUGAACACUGUUUGAACUAUGCGAUAGUUUCUUUACUAAAAUAUACUUCAGACUCUGGAACUGGAAGGACUAUGGGCCACUUAAAUGCAGCAUAUAUCUUGCAAUUUGAGCUCGAUAAUGGCAAAUUCCAAAUGCAAUCUAUCCACACAUUACACUCAAGUGCGAAAGAAUGAUCCAUGUAUUUUAAGGGUUUUGGUUCCUGGCAUGUGUACAUCAGGGAGUACUUAUAUAACAUACUGAUUUUGGAUCGUUGGAUGAUAUAUGCAUCUAACGGACAUAAUUAUAAAAAAAAUUCGUCAUGCUCAAUUUUUUUUUAUUUGUUUUUUUGCAUAUGAUAUGUAACUUGAAUAAUAAGAGGAAGGGGGAAAGUGAUGCAACUGCAAUUGAAGAAGUCAGUAGUCACUUAUUUAAAUUUCAAAGUACAAAGCCCAAAUAAGCAAUUUCCAAAGAGCUAAGCAAUGAAGGGCCAAGAAAUGGCUAGCUACUGCUAAAGAAAGCAAGUCCUCAUUCCUUGAUCAGAAGAGAUAAGGCAACCGCUCUCAUGCCACGUGUCAACUCAAUAAGAGUGUUUAAUGAUAAGGCAACCAAUCCAAAUUGCUCACACUGUGUGGCUACCAUGUUGCCUUGUCAACUUCACUGUAAUUCAAUGGUCAGAAAAAUUCUGAACUUUAGGAGGUGAAUUGGGAACCAUUGGAUCAGCAGGUUAAACGAUAAUGAGAUGAAAUGCCUAUAUAUUGGAUAGGUGAAGGAACAGAAGCAAGCCUCUCAAACACAAGAGAAGAAAGUAAAAGAACAAGAAGAGAGUAUUAGUACUCAUGGCUUCUUCAAUGAUAUCAUCAGUAGCACCGGUUACCCGUGCAUCCCCUGCUCAGGCUAACAUGGUCGCGCCUUUCACCGGCCUCAAGUCCAUCGCAUCAUUCCCCGUCACCCGAAAGCUUGAGAAUGACAUUACCUCUAUUACCAGCAACGGAGGAAGAGUUCAAUGCAUGAAGGUAUAUAUCUAUACUACUUAAUACUCAGAUAUAUUAUGUGCUAAUGAGGAACCAGUAUAACAUGGCAGAACAUUUCUUAGUGAGUUAUUGCUUUCAAAGUAGCACAAUUUUAAGUCAGAUAAAGUAGUCCUAGGUAACUUUAGAGUGAGCAUAACUUUGGAAUUUUCCUUGAAUAUGUAAAUAAUUUACAAAUAUUAUGUCAACACUUCAAAUAAAAGAUGGUUUUGCUUGUAUUUUCCUCCCGAUCUGAUCUGAGAAAUUUUGUUGUCAAGUCAAACAAUUAGAUACUUUAGCUCAAGAGAAAUGUCACUCCCUGGCAAUCCUGGGGGAUAACUUCUAUAUUUUACCAUAGUAACAGGAGUUUGAGAGUCCAAGAUUCGCAGAAAACAUGUGUGUGUCAAUGUGUGAAAGCCUAAUCAUGUCGCCCCUCAAGUGAAGUAGAUUUUAAUUCAAAAUAGAGAUGUGUGAGAACCUAAUCAUGUCCAAGUUUUUUGUAUGAUUUUCACCUUAGCUUGCUCUCAGUAACCCCUCUCUUAGUCUCAUUAAACAGUGACUCUGAAAUGUAUAUUCUUUUAAAGACAUGAUCACGUUCUUCAAAUUUUGCAAUCCAACACUUUUUGUCAAAAAAUAUACUACAAUCUGUCGGUUUCUAAUCGAGUAAAUAUGACAUUCACAAAGUAUAUCACUGAGAACACACCAUGGUGUGAGAGUGAAUAAGAAAUUAGUUAGCUAACAUAUGUGAAUGGUGCAAGCGCAGGUAUGGCCACCAAUUAACAUGAAGAAGUUCGAGACACUCUCGUACCUUCCUCCUCUCACCACCGAACAAUUGGCAAAGGAGGUCGACUACCUUCUCCGUUCCGGAUGGGUUCCUUGUCUGGAAUUCGAGUUGGAGGUAACCACUUUCUUCCUACACAUUUUUCAUGUUCUCUGUUACAUGUUUCUUGACAUUGCUGAUGACAAUUGUGUGUUAAACCAAAAUGUAGCACGGUUUCGUGUACCGUGAGCACAACAAAUCCCCCGGAUACUAUG
RNAcentral lists this long non-coding RNA (13292 nucleotides) under Daucus carota (carrot). RNAcentral describes it as "long non-coding RNA (DCAR_LNC001441)". Lineage: Eukaryota; Viridiplantae; Streptophyta; Magnoliopsida; Apiales; Apiaceae. The record is from RNAcentral.